This 1195-nucleotide long non-coding RNA is filed under the name Anas platyrhynchos platyrhynchos (common mallard). Its description in RNAcentral is "lncRNA (ENSAPLG00000020529.1)". Lineage: Eukaryota; Metazoa; Chordata; Aves; Anseriformes; Anatidae. The record is from RNAcentral.
CUCAUGUCCACCUUGAGAGAGAGAAGAAAAGCCCUGCCUUGUCUAAGCUCUUUCCCAUCACUAAGCUCUGAGCACAUCACUUCAAAGUGGCACCAGCUGUUUGCUGGGUGACAAACCAUUAGUUUGUUUUGCUUUUUUUUUUUUUUUUUUUUUUUUUUUUCUGCUGGCAUUGUGAUUGAAAUGUUACUUCUAUUUGGAAAUGAAAUAGCCUUAGAAGCUAUCAUCUGACUUGCUCUUUCUUAUUGAUGUGUUUUUCUGUUGACGCCCUGGGUGGCCUGAAGUCCUUAGUAGUGGCUGAAGACACAACCUUAUGCAUGAAGGUUGAAGCUGGGUGCAGGUAGGGUUAAUCUUGAGCUGCAGCUGGGACUUCAGUUCUGCCUCCAGGUGCUGAUUCUUUGGGGCAUCAGGGGAUCACUGGUGGAUGGAGAUGGUGAGAGCUGUUAAAGACUUUCCUUUCACUGUCGAAAAAAUUAAAAGACUAUAUUCAAGUUAUGCAACAGAUCUUAGAACUCAGCCUUCUGAGCUCAGAGGAAAUAAUCUCCUAAAAUGAAAAGACAAAAAAGUAAAAAAGCAAUCCCAAUAAAUUCAGAAUAGAGUGAGACAUAGGAGAGGGGUGACUGAAACACCUAUAGCAGCUUAUCAUGGAGGAAGAUUAUUAUUACAGUGUUAUGUGUAGCUGGGGACAGAGACAGCUGUUUGCAUUUUCUAAAUAUCACCCUGGGAAUAACAUCUUCCCUUACCAAUGUUAUUUUGUUCUGUGUGGCAUCGCCCUGCUAACCUCUGAUCAUUGUGUCCUGGCUCUAAGCAGAGAGUUCAGAUCAAGGCAAAUAAACUUGAGCAUUAUCUGAUGCUGGAUUAUGUAGCCCUGCAGUCAUUCAGCUGCAACCUCUACGGUAACCUUCGCGUACACCCUGUAUCCUUUCUGUUUAUGUUCAUCUUUUUCCUAGCACCUCUUUAAAUUACACACCUGCAGAGGCACUGAUCACUGCAGUGUAGCCAUAAAGGAAAGACAUUGCUUCUUUGCCCUCCUAAAUACCUUGAAACACUAUUGAUUAAUUUUUCACCUGAAAUAGUCCACCCUGAAUGGAUGGAGAGGAAUUUGCCACUGAUGUUCUGUAGUCCAACGUGUGUGAAUGGCAUCUCACUCCCUGAGCUCUGUCUGCUGUGUAUUGCAGUCCCAAAUUCCUGUUUUCUA